CAUUCCCUAAAAAGAAAGAGAAAACGGACAGUUCGUCAUCGGGGGCGCCGUAAGCGGAGACUCGCGUCGAGCUGGUUGGAUUCGGUUCCGCGCGGGUGGUUUCACCGAUUUAUCGGCGCUUGGUGCAAAAGCUGCUCCCUGGUGGGAGCAACGGCUUCGUAAUCCGGCCCGUGAUUCAAUCGGAGACUUUGCAACCCAACGUAUCGCCCUGCAACCGGACCGGAGCUCGUCCCAGUAUUUUUUCUCCAAGCACACGCUGUGUCCUGCAAGCACAGACUAUAUCCUCCGAGCACAGACUAUAUCCUCCGAGCACAGACUAUCUCUUCCGAGCACACACUUCACUAUAACUUACUAACUGCAUCAUGUUUUCCCUUGUAUUUUAGUUUUUUUUUCCUUUUGCCACCGACCCCCCAUCUCCAAGUAAACACCCCAAGACCUUUCAGCUUCCAAGACCCCACCCCGGGUGCCGUGCAGCAUCCCAGAAGCGUAGAAAUAACUCGAGCACUUAAGCACCAAGAUAAAAUGAAAUCGAAAAGCAGAGAAACGCAUUUACCCAGCAAGAAAUGAAGAACCAAGAGUGCCGCGAUUAGAAAGUUCAUCAUCCCGCGCUUUGGCGUCGUCUGCCGGUGCCGCUCGGCGCUUCUGCUCAGAAAUUUGUCUGAGACGUCCCAGCGGACGCAGGAAAUGACUUUUCUGAGGGCUGGACCGAGCAGCCCCUGCCCUCAGAGAAGAGACAAGUUUUCCUGCGAUUUGCCGAGCGGUGCGAUGCCCGGCCGGGAGAUGCGCGACGCCCGUGACGCCGCUCCGGCGAGAGAAGAAAUUAAUUUUUAUUUAUUUUUUUUUUUUCUUUCUGCAAAGACUUUUCCAACGGCUUGAGUUGCAAAUCUUGGGAAGUUAUUCCUCAGGGAGAGUCGGCUGGAUGAGCUCACAAAUAGAGGGUGGUUUUGAUUAUGCUACAGCCGAGGAUAACAGGAGCUAUUAAUAGCAAAUCCUCGCAGAGAGGGCGGCGAUUGAGGCAAAGGCAGAAACGACCGCUGGGAGCCAGAUUCAGUUCCCGACUUCCCUUAAAAUCUUGGGGGAUUAUUUUAUUUUUUUUCUUGGCUUCACUUCACCUUCCCAUGCCUCAGUUUCUCCAUCGGGAGGAAGAAACACGAAUGGUCGCGAGCUUAUUUUAUUUUCUAGCAGGUAGAAAUACCCCAGUUGGGGCGUUUUAGGAGCCACUUUGGGCGUUUAUUAUCGCUCCCGUCGCCGCGUCAGCGGGGUGUGGUGCCUUGGUACCUCUUGGUACCAGCUGUUUACUUUUUCUUCCUCAACUAAAAAUAAAAACAAAAUAGAAAAAAAAACCAAACAUUUCUUGGAAGAGGAAUGGGGAGGGGAAAAGAAAGCUUUGCGGGGAAAAGCCGGUAGUGGUGCCGGGGGCCCGCGCGGAGGUGAUGGGAUGGGGCUGGUUGUGAAGCCAAAGGGGACCAGAAAGAGCAGGAGGUCAAUUAAGUGUAAGAAAAUUGGGGUAAAAUUGGUCCCAGAGUAGCGCGUGGUGGGGGCUGCUCGCCACUGUGGGUUUGAUGCCAUCGCUGUGCGUUGCUUACGCAGAAAUAAAAAUGAGAUUUUUGAGGGGGG
Long non-coding RNA from Athene cunicularia (burrowing owl), 1617 nucleotides. RefSeq lists it as uncharacterized. The record is from RefSeq and is a predicted model, not a curated record. The transcript is spliced from 2 exons. NCBI's taxonomy places the organism in Eukaryota, Metazoa, Chordata, Aves, Strigiformes, Strigidae.